RNAcentral lists this ribosomal RNA (255 nucleotides) under uncultured bacterium. Its description in RNAcentral is "partial 16S ribosomal RNA". It matches the Rfam family "Bacterial small subunit ribosomal RNA", at positions 524 to 776 of the family's 1533-position model. The record is from RNAcentral.
UACGUAGGGGGCAAGCGUUGUCCGGAUUUAUUGGGCGUAAAGAGCGUGUAGGCGGUUUGGUAGGUCCGCUGUGAAAACUCGAGGCUCAACCUCGAGACGCCGGUGGAAACCAUCAGACUAGAGUCCGGAAGAGGAGAGUGGAAUUCCUGGUGUAGCGGUGAAAUGCGCAGAUAUCAGGAAGAACACCCGUGGCUAAGGCGGCUCUCUAGUACGGUAACUGACGCUGAGGUGCGAAAGCCGUGGGGAGCAAACAGG